Molecule: long non-coding RNA, 317 nt
Filed under: Mytilus galloprovincialis (Mediterranean mussel)
Lineage: Eukaryota; Metazoa; Mollusca; Bivalvia; Mytilida; Mytilidae
Source: RNAcentral
GUUUUAUAUAAAUAAAGUAUUGGACAGUUCAUAUUAAUGACCAGUUUGUUAAAAUUGGAGAUUUUUUUUCUUCAUUUUUUCCCCCUACACUUUAUAGGGACAAUAGUACCUUUCGAGGAUCUGGUAUUUUUGGGCAAGUCAGACUUUAUAGUUUCUUUUAUUAACAGAUUUACGAUUUUUAAAGGAGAGGUUGAAAAAAUAAAGAAUCAUAUCUGUUGAAUGAAAAAAAAACCCAAUGAAACCGUCAAUAAAGGGAGCUACUAUUUAAUUUUUAUUUGGGGGAGGGGCUAGGAUGAAUAAUUUUGUCCUGCAUUUUU